This 473-nucleotide long non-coding RNA is filed under the name Physcomitrium patens. RNAcentral describes it as "long non-coding RNA (PPAT_LNC002553)". The record is from RNAcentral. Lineage: Eukaryota; Viridiplantae; Streptophyta; Bryopsida; Funariales; Funariaceae.
UUAGGUCCAAAAAUUGGGCAGUGAAUGUUGGCCAUGGGCCCUAUGAGUUGAUAAUUCUCUUCACAUUUUUGGAAGUUUUUGUUGCUGUCUUGUUGUGGAAGAUGGAGCUUUAUUAGGCAUUGGUAUUUGGACAUGAAAGGCUCUCCCAUUGACACCUAGUAAGAAAGUUAGAAGUUUUGUUUAUAUAGACUUGAUACACAUUUAGGUUUGUUUUUACUUUAACCCAAUUGGGAAAACUAUUAAGAUCAAAGAUUUCUGCCAACAAUAUUCUUGUUCUUUCAUAAGUUUUUUUUUGGAGAAUUAAUUAUUUGACCAAUUAUUAAUUUUAAUAAGAUGAUGAAUUUUUUUAUGUUUGUGCAAUAUGAUAUUAAAUGACUAAAAAACACAUAUUUUAAAAUAUAUCAUAUUGAUUCUUAAGUACCACUCAGUGCUAACAUGUCAUUUAUUUAUUUAGGAAAUGAUUUCAAAUAAAU